AGCUAUGGAAAUGUCGAUGUCAAUCCUCGGAUUCUGGAAAUUACCGAUGGAAUAGACGAAAGUUGUUCGGCUGAUUCGGUUACAUCUUCGUCGAAGAAGAGAACUUCUCGAAAGAGUGGCGACUCCGCGAAUAGUCAUAAUAUGAUUACAAGGAAGAAGAUCAAAACCGAAAAACCAACAUAGUAUUGUUUUAUUAUUUACUGUGGUAUUCAAACAUUCGAUGUUUCCG
RNAcentral lists this long non-coding RNA (229 nucleotides) under Capsella rubella. Its description in RNAcentral is "long non-coding RNA (CRUB_LNC000654)". The record is from RNAcentral. Lineage: Eukaryota; Viridiplantae; Streptophyta; Magnoliopsida; Brassicales; Brassicaceae.